Molecule: transfer RNA, 28 nt
Filed under: Amblyomma hebraeum (bont tick)
Lineage: Eukaryota; Metazoa; Arthropoda; Arachnida; Ixodida; Ixodidae
Description: partial tRNA-Trp
Source: RNAcentral
GUAAAAAUUAUUUUUAUAAUAAAUCUUA